CUACGGGGUGCACCAGUGGGGAAUAUUGGACAAUGGGGGAAACCCUGAUCCAGCAAUGCCGCGUGUGUGAAGAAGGCCUGCGGGUUGUAAAGCACUUUCGGUUGGGAGGACUGCUUCUAGCACUAAUAUUGUUGGAAGUUGACGUUACCUUCAGAAGAAGCACCGGCUAACUCCGUGCCAGACAGGCGCGCGGUAAUACGGAGGGUGCAAGCGUUAAUCGGAAUUACUGGGCGUAAAGCGCGCGUAGGCGGCUAGAUCAGUUGGGUGUGAAAGCCCCGGGCUUAACCUGGGAACUGCAUCCGAUACUGUCUAGCUUGAGUACAGGAGAGGAGAGUGGAAUUCCACAUGUAGCGGUGAAAUGCGUAGAUAUGUGGAGGAACACCAAUGGCGAAGGCAGCUCUCUGGCCUGAUACUGACGCUGAGGUGCGAAAGCGUGGGGAGCAAACAGGAUUAGAUACCCCGGUAGUC
This 468-nucleotide ribosomal RNA is filed under the name uncultured bacterium. Its description in RNAcentral is "partial 16S ribosomal RNA". It matches the Rfam family "Bacterial small subunit ribosomal RNA", at positions 339 to 795 of the family's 1533-position model. The record is from RNAcentral.